CUGAAUGUUGGGCACCUCAAGUUGACAUUUUGCAGUGUGGGCCCCACUGAGUGUGCUGCCCUGGCCUUUGUGCUGCAGCACCUCCGGCGGCCCGUGGCCCUGCAGCUGGACUACAACUCUGUGGGUGACAUUGGCGUGGAGCAGCUGCUGCCUUGCCUUGGUGUCUGCAAGGCUCUGUAUUGCGCGAUAACAAUAUCUCAGACCGAGGCAUCUGCAAGCUCAUUGAAUGUGCUCUUCACUGCGAGCAAUUGCAGAAGUUAGCCUGGGGAAUAACUACAUCACUGCCGCGGGAGCCCAAGUGCUGGCCGAGGGGCUCCGAGGCAACACCUCCUUGCAGUUCCUGGGUUCUGGGGCAACAGAGUGGGUGACGAGGGGGCCCAGGCCCUGGCUGAAGCCUUGGGUGAUCACCAGAGCUUGAGGUGGCUCAGCUGGUGGGGAACAACAUUGGCAGUGUGGGUGCCCAAGCCUUGGCACUGAUGCUGGCAAAGAACGUCAUGCUAG
This 501-nucleotide long non-coding RNA is filed under the name Homo sapiens (human). Its description in RNAcentral is "HSALNT0230818". Lineage: Eukaryota; Metazoa; Chordata; Mammalia; Primates; Hominidae. The record is from RNAcentral.